RNAcentral lists this long non-coding RNA (2845 nucleotides) under Homo sapiens (human). RNAcentral's name for it is "HSALNT0178840". Lineage: Eukaryota; Metazoa; Chordata; Mammalia; Primates; Hominidae. The record is from RNAcentral.
AAGCAUAAGAGGAGAUGAGAGAUAGGACUAAAAAUCAGUAGAAACAAUAAGCAGAAGAAACAGGCCUAUGGGGGAAUGUGGAUAAUGGAAUUGUAAUAAUAGGAACGUUUAAAAUAGCUAUGCUGAAUGCAUUCAAGGGAUAAAAGAUAAUAGUAAUAAUUUCAGCAUAAAUUCAAAAUUCUAUAAAAUAACCAAAUGGAAAUUCUAGAGCUUUAAAAUACAGAAACUGAAAUUAAGAAAAACAUGGAAUUAUUUAAUAGCAGAUUAGAACAACUAAAGAGAAUCAGUGAACUAUAAGAUUAGAUAGAAAAAUAUAUACAAAAUGAAAUGGAGAUAUGAAAGAUGAAAAACACAGAAAAGAGUGGAUAUAACCUUAAAGAUCAUGUAGACCACAUUCACUGGAGUAGGGAUUGGCUAGGUGUCUACCAGACUCUUUCAAUUUUCUCCUGGUCAUCAAGAGCUGGAAUACAUUUCCCAGCCUCCCUUGUAGUUGAGUGUGGCUAUGUAUUUGAGGUUCUGGCCCCUGGAAUACAGGAGGAAGUGAUAUAUAUCAUUUCCAGGCUUGUCCUGUGAAAACAUCUCGUCACCCUCCUCUCUUCUCUUCUCUGGGAUGUUGCUGCCCAUGUGACAUUGGAUGUCACAUGUUGAAGAUGGUUAAGUCUCCAUUACCCUAGGUUCUGAAAUGAUUGCAUGGAUCAAAGCGUCUCAGUCCCUGCCUCUGAAUGGAUUUUACAUGAAUGAGAAACAAAUUGCAUAUUAUAUAUAGUUUAUGUGUCACAGCAUUUAGCAUUAUUUUAACUAACAUAUUCUCAGCCAUUCUAGGAGUCCUCUUUACAACAACCUUUUCUCAGUCUACUUUCAGAAUGAGGAUCUACAGUGAAGAAGGAUGCCUAACUUUUCAAGACAACUAAUUUCUUUUUUUUUUGAAAGAUAUAGCACUUGAAAAAAGUUUUUCCUGAUUUCAUCUCUUUAUGAACUUACUAGACUUAUUUAUUUAUCUGGGACAUCUUUCAGAGAUAUACCUAUAGAUACUGAAACUAGCCCUCAUAAAGAAUUUUUAUUUUGGAAUGUACAUUUGAAAGAGGAAAUGAAAAAUUCUCUGACAUUGUCUAGCUGAAUGACCUUGACUGUGUCUUCCUCAAACUUGGUUUCAAUCAGUAAAAUGACUGCAUUAGAUUGAAUGGAUCUCUACUGUCCCUUUCACCUUAGAGAAGGUUACUGUGAAGAUGAAAGGAGAUGAUGUGUGUAACACUCACAGACUGGGACCCAGGAUGUAUGCAUCAGAUUUUAGGGAAACAUUGGUCUUCUUUCUCACCAUGGUUCAAGGUCUUGGGAUGCCUCCAAGACACGCUGACAAAAAGUCCCAUGAUUUUGUAGCUUAGUGUGUUGUGCCACAAAAAAGCCUUCAAAAUUAUUAAAAUAAGUUUUCCCAUAACAAAAUAAGGGAUCUACAACUAAAUAGAAGUAUUAAUGAUUAUUUAAUACUUCAGAAAGAAUGAAAGAGAGGAGAGAUUUUCUAUACUUGGGGUCUAUGAAAUUCCCUUCUAUCCAUUAAAAAAAUAAAGAACUUUUAAAACAAGGUUGAAUAUGUUCCUCUUCUUCAUAACCAAGGUUCUCUAAGACAGAAAUAUUAACAGCAGAAAAAAUAUUGUGUUGAGAUUAAAUUAAGAAAAAUAUACAUAUAUAUGUACUUUUUUCCCCAGUUCAAAGGACGAUAAAAAAUAAACUACAUAUAUAUACCCCACAUAGAUAUAUAAAUAGUUAGAUAAAUAUAGAGAUAUAGAUAAUCUACUUUCAUGAUUUAUAAUAAGGACACAGAAAAAGGCUGGGAUGGCAGUGGGGAAUGAGCAGAGUCUGAAUUUCUGUACUCCAGCAUAGCACUUACACUAUGAGAAACAGUAUUAGCUAGAGCUAUGUUAGUGCAAUUGUUAAAAGCUCUGUAUUUUACAUGAAAACUUGAGCCAUUGAAAAUAACAGAAUUAGCUAGAACUGGCAUCAAGCCUUAAUGCCAGAAUGUAACCAGUCCACAGAGGUAGGAAGAUGUUCUUAGGCAGGGACCCAAAAAGAGGACUGACACAUAAUAAAGGAUCAGGAUAAUACAAGGCUAAUAAAAAAGAGAAAAGGGACUGAUGCUUUGCUAUUUCUGAGUAAGGAAUUCUUCUAGAUUCUUAGUGAGAAGGAAUUAAGGUAAAGCCAAAGCGAUACGUAGUAUUUAUGCUUUGUUGUAUAUAUUAUGGUUUAUGCAGCUUUUAAAUAAACUAUAUGUAGUUCAUUCUGUCUACGAUGGUAGCAAUAAUAGCUAUUAUUUAUUGAUGUCUUAUUAUAUACUUGAUGUUCAGCGAGGUAUUACAUAUGUCCACAUCUCUUUGCUCACAUGACUCCAAGCUGGCAUAGGCCUCUUCCCUGCAUCCAUCCUUCCAAGAGCAGAAAGCGUAUACCUGCUGGUGUAUGCUCCUUCAUUUCAAGGAGUUGCAAAGGAGUCUUAUAUAUAAAAGUGUGGAUGGAGCUUGGACAUGUGGGUGGAGGUGUCCAUUGGCAUAUGAACUGAGGCCCUUUGUAGUAUGGAUGGGAAGAGACAGAAGGUGGGCUGGGGGCUGGUUCUCCUACACUGCCACAGUCCAUCAUUAAACUUUGAAGAGUCCAAUAAUUCUAAACUAGAACCAUACCAUCUGGGUUUUAAUGAAAUUUGUCAAAGGUGGUAAGGGAUAAAAAAGACUUUAUUUAACAGUUAGCUUGAUUUUUAUAACCAUGAAGUAUUUAGCCAUAGGACACACGGUCCUCUAUUUGUACCCUUUUUCGGGGACUAUAAAUUCAGAGGUAGGUUUAGCACCUAGCACAGUGUCUG